Molecule: ribosomal RNA, 406 nt
Filed under: uncultured bacterium
Lineage: Bacteria
Description: partial 16S ribosomal RNA
Rfam family: Bacterial small subunit ribosomal RNA
Source: RNAcentral
AUUGAACGCUGGCGGCAGGCCUAACACAUGCAAGUCGAACGAGUGGCGGACGGGUGAGUAAUGUUUGUUAAACUUCCCGAUGGAGGGGGAUAACUACUGGAAACGGUAGCUAAUACCGCAUACCAUCGGAUGUGCACAGAUGGGAUUAGCUUGUAGGUGAGGUAACGGCUCACCUAGGCGACGAUCCCUAUCUGGUCUGAGAGGAGGACCAGACACACUGGAACUGAGACACGGUCCAGACUCCUACGGGAGGCAGCAGUGGGGAAUAUUGCACAAUGGGCGCAAGGCUGAUGCAGGCAUGCCGCGUGUAUGAAGAAGGCCUUAGGGUUGUAAAGUGCUUUCAGCGGGGAGGCGUUACCCGCAGAAGAAGCACCGGCUAACUCCGUGCCAGCAGCGGCGGUAAUUC